Molecule: non-coding RNA, 639 nt
Organism: Pimephales promelas (fathead minnow)
Lineage: Eukaryota; Metazoa; Chordata; Actinopteri; Cypriniformes; Leuciscidae
Source: the annotation of a RefSeq genome assembly
AAAGCACUGACUGGGAGCUUCAGUAGUCAGAAGGUUUCUGUUAUGGCAGUUCUGCAAAGCUCCAUGAGGAAACCAUCGUUUAAAACAAUGUCUUUCUGUUUGUUGAUAGUUUUAAUGGCAUUUAUAGGUGCCAGUAUACAAGACAAAAUUAAUCCAACAUCUCCUGCUGUCCAUGCAAAGGACAAGGAAAAAGUGACUAUUUCUUGUGAAUACCAGUACACAGUGUCGAUGAAUAAUCUACAGUGGUAUCGACAACACCUCAACAAUACCUCACCGGAAUUCCUGAUUCUAAUCAUGGAGUCGGGACAAACACAGAACGCUACACCUCCUCAUCCUCGGCUGACAGCUUCAGUUGAUAAAGCAAACAAGAUGGUGAAUCUAGAAAUCUUCCCUGCAGAUGUGGCGGAUUCUGCAAUGUAUUACUGUGCACUGCAGCCCACAGUUGGAGGAAACACCAUGAACACCAUACAAAAACCUGCUCAAAGCUAAAAGGUUUAGAGAAAGUCUGCACACAUACCACAAGAGGGCAACACUUUUCAAGACUCAACAACAUUGCAUGUAGAAAGUUGAAAUAUUGUAGCCUACUAUCAACCACAUACUAACACCUCAAGGGAUUGUAAACAGAAGCACACGGCUGAU